RNAcentral lists this ribosomal RNA (431 nucleotides) under uncultured bacterium. Its description in RNAcentral is "bacterial SSU rRNA". It matches the Rfam family "Bacterial small subunit ribosomal RNA", at positions 791 to 1214 of the family's 1533-position model. The record is from RNAcentral.
UAGUCCACGCCCUAAACGAUGAAUGCUAGUCGUCGGAAAGCUUGUCUUUUCGGUGAUGCAGUUAACACAUUAAGCAUUCCGCCUGGGGAGUACGGUCGCAAGAUUAAAACUCAAAGGAAUAGACGGGGACCCGCACAAGUGGUGGAGCAUGUGGUUUAAUUCGAAGAUACGCGAAGAACCUUACCUAGGCUUGACAUACCAAGAAUCUUGUAGAGAUACAGGAGUGCUAGCUUGCUAGAAUUUGGAUACAGGUGCUGCACGGCUGUCGUCAGCUCGUGUCGUGAGAUGUUGGGUUAAGUCCCGCAACGAGCGCAACCCUCGUCGUUAGUUGCUAACAGUUCGGCUGAGCACUCUAGCGAGACUGCCUUCGCAAGGGAGGAGGGAAGGUGAGGGACGACGUCAAGGUCAUCAUGGGCCCUUAUGCCUAGGGG